This 447-nucleotide ribosomal RNA is filed under the name uncultured Bacillota bacterium. RNAcentral's name for it is "bacterial SSU rRNA". It matches the Rfam family "Bacterial small subunit ribosomal RNA", at positions 936 to 1382 of the family's 1533-position model. The record is from RNAcentral. Lineage: Bacteria; Bacillati; Bacillota.
AGCAUGUGGUUUAAUUCGAAGCAACGUCGAAGAACCUUACCAGGUCUUGACAUCCUUUGAAUGGUCUAGAGAUAGAUCAGGCUUCGGGACAGAAGAGACAGGUGGUGCAUGGUUGUCGUCAGCUCGUGUCGUGAGAUGUUGGUUAAGUCCCGCAACGAGCGCAACCCUUAUCAUUAGUUGCUAACAUUCAGUUGAGAACUCUAAUGAGACUGCCAGUGAUAAACUGGAGGAAGGUGGGGAUGACGUCAAAUCAUCAUGCCCCUUAUGACCUGGGCUACACACGUGCUACAAUGGCCGGUACAAAGAGUUGCGAAACUGUGAAGUUAAGCUAAUCUACAUAAAGCCGGUCUCAGUUCGGAUUGUAGUCUGCAACUCGACUACAUGAAGUCGGAAUCGCUAGUAAUCGCGAAUCAGAAUGUCCGCGGUCCGAAUACGUUCCCGGGCCUU